This 468-nucleotide ribosomal RNA is filed under the name uncultured bacterium. Its description in RNAcentral is "partial 16S ribosomal RNA". It matches the Rfam family "Bacterial small subunit ribosomal RNA", at positions 28 to 507 of the family's 1533-position model. The record is from RNAcentral.
GAUGAACGCUGGCGGCGUGCUUAACACAUGCAAGUCGAACGGAAAGACCCGGCGCUUGCGGCGUGCUCGAUUGGCGAACGGGGGAGUAAAACGUGAGUAACCUGCCCCUGACUUUGGGAUAACUUCACGAAACUGGGGCUAAUACCGGAUAUGAUCUCCUGAAGCACGGGGGGGGUUGGAAAGUUUCGGCGGUUGGGGAUGGACUCGCUGCUUAUCCGCUUCUUGGUGGGGUAGUGGCUGACCAAGGCUUUGACGGGUAGCCGGCAUGAGAGGGUGACCGGCCACAUUGGGACUGAGAUACGGCCCAGACUCCUACGGGAGGCAGCAGUGGGGAGUAUGGCACAGUGGGCGGGAGCCUGAUGCAGAGGCCCCGCGUGCGGGAUGACGGCCUUCGGGUUGUAAACAGAUUUGGCCGGAGACGAAGCGUGAGUGACGGUAAUGGGUAAAGAAGCACCGGCUAACUACGUG